CAGCCGCCGCGGGAAUACAGAGGGUGCGAGCGUUAAUCGGAUUUACUGGGCGUAAAGCGUGCGUAGGCGGCUAAUUGAGUCGGAUGUGAAAUCCCCGAGCUUAACUUGGGAAUUGCAUUCGAUACUGGUUAGCUAGAGUGUGGGAGAGGAUGGUAGAAUUCCAGGUGUAGCGGUGAAAUGCGUAGAGAUCUGGAGGAAUACCGAUGGCGAAGGCGGCCCCCUGGACAAAGACUGACGCUCAGGUGCGAAAGCGUGGGGAGCAAACAGGAUUAGAUACCCCCGUAGUCCCUGUCUCUUAUAC
This 301-nucleotide ribosomal RNA is filed under the name uncultured bacterium. RNAcentral's name for it is "partial 16S ribosomal RNA". It matches the Rfam family "Bacterial small subunit ribosomal RNA", at positions 509 to 807 of the family's 1533-position model. The record is from RNAcentral.